GGGGAUGAUCGGUUUCGACAUCGCUCGCGAAACUGCGUGAAGCGGGUAGAGGACGCGGGGUCAUCUCUGAAACGCCCCUCGCAACCAACAAGUGCCAAUAACAAGCGCACUGACUUCGCCCUCGCUGCCUAAGCGAGCCUCGAGUCCGUCGGUCUGAGUCUGCGUUCGGCUCAGGGUCCGGCGUCGUAUUGAACGCUCGCUGCCGAGUCGCGUCGCAGGGCUCGGUGGGACUUUUUCUGCGACUGGGUCCGUCGGCCAGGCUGUUCGUCGCCAGGGUCGGGACCGAGCAACACGUCUGACGAACUGCACCCGGAGAAGCCGCAGGCUCACAGCGAUGGACGGGGGUUCAAUUCCCCCCAUCUCCACUG
Molecule: transfer-messenger RNA, 368 nt
Filed under: Microbacteriaceae
Lineage: Bacteria; Bacillati; Actinomycetota; Actinomycetes; Micrococcales
Also listed under: 1 other name
Description: Gulosibacter sp012719255 Standard tmRNA
Rfam family: transfer-messenger RNA
About the family: Bacterial tmRNA, also known as 10Sa RNA or SsrA, is named for its dual tRNA and mRNA-like properties. Its role is to liberate the mRNA from a stalled ribosome. To accomplish this part of the tmRNA is used as a reading frame that ends in a translation stop signal.
Source: RNAcentral